CCCUUAGACGUUCUGGGCCGCACGCGCGCUACACUGACCAGUGCAACAAGCAUCCGUCCUUGGCCGACAGGCCCGGGCAAUCUUUGAACGCUGGUCGUGAUGGGGAUAGACUUUUGCAAUUUUUGGUCUUCAACGAGGAAUUCCUAGUAAACGCAAGUCAUCAACUUGCAUUGAUUACGUCCCUGCCCUUUGUACACACCACCCGUCGCACCUACCGAUUGAAUGGUCCGGUGAAGCCUCCGGAUUGGCGCGCACCUCGGUGCCGCCGAGAAGUUGGCUAAACCUUACCAUUUAGAGGAAGGUGAAGUCGUAACA
Molecule: ribosomal RNA, 315 nt
Filed under: uncultured eukaryote
Lineage: Eukaryota
Description: partial 18S ribosomal RNA
Rfam family: Eukaryotic small subunit ribosomal RNA
Source: RNAcentral